AGCUUUGUGCAAUGGAAGUAUGGUAGCUAAUGAGGUUUGCCCAAGGCACAGUUAAUUAUUGCUAAUUGAAAACUUUUCCCAAUUCUCCUCCAUGACAACUUGAAAUACAGUCUGCAUUGGUGAGUUUUGACUGUUAGGAGACUGA
Small nuclear RNA from Choloepus hoffmanni (Hoffmann's two-fingered sloth), 145 nucleotides. Its record names the gene U4. It matches the Rfam family "U4 spliceosomal RNA". From Rfam's summary of the family: U4 small nuclear RNA (U4 snRNA) is a component of the major U2-dependent spliceosome. The record is from Ensembl. NCBI's taxonomy places the organism in Eukaryota, Metazoa, Chordata, Mammalia, Pilosa, Megalonychidae.